AGUCGAGCGUCACUCUUUAGAGUGAGCGGCAAACGGUGAGUAACGCGUGGGAAUCUACCCAUCUCUACGGAAUAACACAGAGAAAUUUGUGCUAAUACCGUAUACGUCCUAUAGGAGAAAGAUUUAUCGGAAGAUGGAUGAGCCCGCGUUGGAUUAGCUAGUUGGUGAGGUAACGGCUCACCAAGGCGACGAUCCAUAGCUGGUCUGAGAGGAUGAUCAGCCACACUGGGACUGAGACACGGCCCAG
RNAcentral lists this ribosomal RNA (247 nucleotides) under uncultured bacterium. RNAcentral's name for it is "partial 16S ribosomal RNA". It matches the Rfam family "Bacterial small subunit ribosomal RNA", at positions 60 to 334 of the family's 1533-position model. The record is from RNAcentral.